Long non-coding RNA from Drosophila willistoni, 400 nucleotides. RefSeq lists it as uncharacterized. The record is from RefSeq and is a predicted model, not a curated record. NCBI's taxonomy places the organism in Eukaryota, Metazoa, Arthropoda, Insecta, Diptera, Drosophilidae. The transcript is spliced from 3 exons.
AAAAAAGACAGACAAUAUGGCAAAUGUGUGAGCCAAAGCAGUUGGCAAAAGUGUCGUAAAUCGUUUAGACGGGGCCAAAAUGUGGAGGCAGUACGAAACGAUAUGUAAACGACACAGUCGCCGUGGGAAAAACUGCCACAAAAAAAAGAAGAAAAGACAAAAGCCCCCCAAAAACGACCACCAACAAAAACAACAGCAAAAGUAUCAACGAAGGGACACUCCAGAAAGCCCAAGAAAAAAACCUGGCAUCUGUCUGAUGAGCCACAUUUAUAUGCCAUACUAAAAGGAAAGACUGAAAUCGAAUGCGAUACCUCAAAUGACUUAAACUGGAAGACAAAAUGAUUUGCAAUUACAUUUUAAACUUUAAAUUCCUCCUGACCCGAUAUGUGUAUGAGGCCUU